Lytechinus variegatus (green sea urchin) is the source of this 223-nucleotide long non-coding RNA. RefSeq lists it as uncharacterized. The transcript has 2 exons. Lineage: Eukaryota; Metazoa; Echinodermata; Echinoidea; Temnopleuroida; Toxopneustidae. The record is from RefSeq and is a predicted model, not a curated record.
GGGAUCUGUUGGUGGGGAGGUGGUUGGAGGGGGAUCUAGUGGUGGGGAGGUGGUUGGAGGGGAGUUUUUUGGUGGGGAGGUGGUUGCAGUGGGAUCUGUUGGUGGGGAGGUGGUGGGAGGAGAGUUUGUUGGUGGGGAGGUGGUUGGAAUGGAGGGUAGGGUAGAGGAGAAAGGCAAAGAAGAUGAAGAGGGAGAAGAAGGCAAUGGUGAUAGAGAUGAGAGG